AGAGUUUGAUCCUGGCUCAGGACGAACGCUGGCGGCGUGCUUAACACAUGCAAGUCGAGCGGUAAGGCCCUUCGGGGUACACGAGCGGCGAACGGGUGAGUAACACGUGGGUGACCUGCCUCUAGCUCUGGGAUAAGCCUGGGAAACUGGGUCUAAUACUGGAUAUGACCUCAUGAUGCAUGUUGUGGGGUGGAAAGUUUUGGCGGCUAGGGAUGGGCCCGCGGCCUAUCAGCUUGUUGGUGGGGUGAUGGCCUACCAAGGCGACGACGGGUAGCCGGCCUGAGAGGGCGACCGGCCACACUGGGACUGAGACACGGCCCAGACUCCUACGGGAGGCAGCAGUGGGGAAUCUUGCGCAAUGGGCGAAAGCCUGACGCAGCGACGCCGCGUGAGGGAUGACGGCCUUCGGGUUGUAAACCUCUUUCAGCCCUGACGAAGCGUAAGUGACGGUAGGGGCAGAAGAAGCACCGGCCAACUACGUGCCAGCAGCCGCGGUAAUACGUAGGGUGCAAGCGUUGUCCGGAAUUAUUGGGCGUAAAGAGCUCGUAGGCGGUCUGUCGCGUCGGCUGUGAAAACUCGGGGCUCAACUUCGAGCUUGCAGUCGAUACGGGCAGGCUAGAGUUCGGCAGGGGAGACUGGAAUUCCUGGUGUAGCGGUGAAAUGCGCAGAUAUCAGGAGGAACACCGGUGGCGAAGGCGGGUCUCUGGGCCGAUACUGACGCUGAGGAGCGAAAGCGUGGGGAGCGAACAGGAUUAGAUACCCUGGUAGUCC
This 771-nucleotide ribosomal RNA is filed under the name uncultured bacterium. RNAcentral describes it as "bacterial SSU rRNA". It matches the Rfam family "Bacterial small subunit ribosomal RNA", at positions 8 to 796 of the family's 1533-position model. The record is from RNAcentral.